GACGAACGCUGGCGGCGUGCUUAACACAUGCAAGUCGAACGGAAAGGCCCUGCUUUUGUGGGGUGCUCGAGUGGCGAACGGGUGAGUAACACGUGAGUAACCUGCCCUUGACUUUGGGAUAACUUCAGGAAACUGGGGCUAAUACCGGAUAGGAGCUCCUGCUGCAUGGUGGGGGUUGGAAAGUUUCGGCGGUUGGGGAUGGACUCGCGGCUUAUCAGCUUGUUGGUGGGGUAGUGGCUUACCAAGGCUUUGACGGGUAGCCGGCCUGAGAGGGUGACCGGGCAGCUUGGGAGUGAGAUACGGACGAGACUGCUGCCGGAGGCAGCAGUGGGGGAUGUGGCACAAUGGGCGGGAGCCUGAUGCAGCAGCGCCGCGGGGGGGAUGACGGGCUUCGGGUUGUAGACCGCUUUCGCCUGUGACGAAGCGGGAGUGACGGGAAUGGGUAAAGAAGCACCGGCAAACUACGUG
RNAcentral lists this ribosomal RNA (468 nucleotides) under uncultured bacterium. Its description in RNAcentral is "partial 16S ribosomal RNA". It matches the Rfam family "Bacterial small subunit ribosomal RNA", at positions 28 to 507 of the family's 1533-position model. The record is from RNAcentral.